This 2209-nucleotide long non-coding RNA is filed under the name Rosa chinensis. RNAcentral describes it as "sRNA RchiOBHm_Chr4g0417661". Lineage: Eukaryota; Viridiplantae; Streptophyta; Magnoliopsida; Rosales; Rosaceae. The record is from RNAcentral.
CUCAGAUAUAAGAGCGAGGAAGGAUUGGUUUUCAAAAUUCUAAAUAUACCAAAGCGCCUACGCCCUAUGAACAGUGAUUCCCGUAUGAACAGUGUGGUGACGACUUUGCCCCUGCCUGUUUAGAGUUUUUCUCGAUUGCCCCCCGGUGUCGUGCCGUAUCUUUCUGGCCAUCUGUCCUGUUGUUCUGUUGCCACGAAGAGAGAGAGGGUGAGAUCGGUAGCCUAAAACAGAGAGGGAGAGGGAGAGGGAGAGGGAGAGGGAGAGCGAGAGAGGUAAGAGUACUGUUUUGAUCCAGAGAGAGAGGGCGAGGAGUCUGCAUGGCUGGAGAUUGGAGCUUUUCUGGCGCAGAGAUUUUGGUUGUCGGUUGCUGAUGAGGCAGCAGAGAUAAUUAGUUUUGGGCGUGGAUUCAGAUUUUCUUCUGUCUUCAUUGGCUCUGAAGAGUUUCAAUUUAUCUAAUUUCUGUCUGUUAUGGUUGUCUUGCAGUUGGCUGCUCGCUACUGUUUGGUUGGAACGCUAGGAUUCUUUAGCUGAGAUGGAGCUAUUCCCGGUCUCACUUUGAAGAUUUACGGAAACCUCCCUAAAGGUUUGAGAGGGUCAAGGAUACAGAAAUCUAUCAUUGUUGGGAUCAUAAUCGUUCAUUACGUGUUCCUGCCUCUUAAAGGCAUAUUGAUCAUUAAAGGGGUGCUUAAAUUUUGCUUAGUGCACUCUGAUCCAUUGUAUUUGUUCUUCUGAGUCUGCACUCCCACCUGCAAUGAAUGUAGGAACCAUCACCCAGUUGUUCGGAGCAGGAGAGAAUGAGUGUUCAAUAAUCCUGCUGUGGACUAAAGUAUUUGCUUCAGUAUCACUCACUUUAUGAUCUGCCUUCUUGAUGUGGUUUGUGGCCGGGCAAGUGUGAAACAGCUACAAAUGUGCAAUUCAUAUAUAGGCAAUUGGUUUGUAUACUAGGCAAACUUUGAAUUCACCAAACUAUCUGUUCUAUAAAUCAGGUUCCAGGUUCAACCACAUAUAGUCUAGCGCUAUACUAUAUGAUGAGUUCUCUGGUUGAAGAUGCACCCUUACUGGAGAAUUUUAUUAAUGGGGAAACUUAUAUAUUCUCCCUUUUUAGAGAAUUUUAUAAAGUAUCUAGAUCCAAAUUUGAAACUUACAUCAUCUCUAUCUCCCUUUCUGUCUCUUAAUGAUCUUGAAUAUGAAAUACAUCUUAUCAGUGAAACAGAUUCACUGCCAUUCUGCCUCUCUCUUCUUCUUCUCCUUCCUUUUUUUUUUUUUUACCUGCCCUUUAACAUGACAUUUUUUUCCGUCAUAAACUUCCAUCCCUCAGUGUGAUAUGAUUUGGGUCAUGAGAAUUGAUGAUUAUGUCCCCAGGGUUGAUGGAUUGUUAAGCAGAGUGGGAAAGAAAGCAUGCCUCAUUUGGUCAAGCACUUGAAAUAAAUUACUUUUAUGGGAAGAACUACUUGGAGUUCCGUAAUAGAACAGUGGGAGUGGAUUGCUAUAUAGGAGUGCCUGCGAUACGAAAGCAAGCAUUCAAACCUGCAGCAAGAAAACAAUAUCGCGGCAUCAUUGGUCAAGAAACAUUGGCUGGAGCUGCUUCUUUAGAUACAUCCAGUCAGGUUUACCUAUUAAAAUUACGCGCACAACCCACAAAGCAGAGUCAGAAGCUGGCUUUGGGAGCAAAUCCAAAGAGAGCUUCUGUAGAUGAGAACAACAAGAGUGAGGCUGGAAAUGCAUGCGUCCAGCAUAAGAGGAGGGUAGUGCUUCAGGAUGUAACCAAUGCUUUCUGUAAACCUUCAUAUGGGGACUGCUUCAAUGCAACUGAAGUUCAGUUCUUAUUCCAAUGUCAAUGCUAAUGUGAAUGGAAAUGGGAAGGGAGUAAAUGGAAAUGGAGUGAAGAGAGAGAGCCAUCGUGAAGAGCUGCUGGGAUGAGGAAGAAAUUGAAGAAAACUUAAGCUGGAGCUUUGCUCUUAAUAAGUAUAGUUACUUUUAUAUACAUUUCCAGUAGAAUGAGUUACAUUAGUUUAGUAGUCUUGGCUUCUACACUAUCUUUUUUGCUUUUUUUUUUCUUUUUCUUCAUCUUUUUUUCUUUUUUCUUUUGGGGUUUCCUAUUUCAUUGUACAUAUAGCUGACUUAUGGCCCUAUUUUAAGAUCUGAGAUUCAAAGUUCCUUAGUUCACAGAUUGAAUGAAUUCUUCAAAAGUGACGCAUUCUUUUUUGAC